GAUGAACGCUGGCGGCGUGCCUAAUACAUGCAAGUCGAGCGAACAGAUGAGGAGCUUGCUCCUCUGACGUUAGCGGCGGACGGGUGAGUAACACGUGGAUAACCUACCUAUAAGACUGGGAUAACUUCGGGAAACCGGAGCUAAUCCCGGAUAAUAUUUUGAACCGCAUGGUUCAUUAUUGAAAGACGUUUUUGCUUUCACUUAUAGAUGGAUCCGCGCCGCAUUAGCUAGUUGGUAAGGUAACGGCUUACCAAGGCAACGAUGCGUAGCCGACCUGAGAGGGUGAUCGGCCACACUGGAACUGAGACACGGUCCAGACUCCUACGGGAGGCAGCAGUAGGGAAUCUUCCGCAAUGGGCGAAAGCCUGACGGAGCAACGCCGCGUGAGUGAUGAAGGUCUUCGGAUCGUAAAACUCUGUUAUUAGGGAAGAACAAAUGUGUAAGUAACUAUGCACGUCUUGACGGUACCUAAUCAGAAAGCCACGGCUAACUACGUG
RNAcentral lists this ribosomal RNA (497 nucleotides) under uncultured bacterium. RNAcentral's name for it is "partial 16S ribosomal RNA". It matches the Rfam family "Bacterial small subunit ribosomal RNA", at positions 28 to 507 of the family's 1533-position model. The record is from RNAcentral.